CCCCCGGGGAGCCAGUGGGAGCGCUCUCCUGCCCCUCCUACCUGCUGCACACUCGCCGGAUGCAACCCCCUGGCCUGAGGCGGCUGGGCUCCUACUUCCGCGGCUCUGGAAUCCCAGAUUCUCAGCACCCUGGAGCGAAGCAGCGUCUUCUAUAACAGCAGACCCAACCCGAGGCCAAGGCCAAGAGGUUAAAGGGUUUGCUGGAGGCCUCGCAGCAGCACGAGUCACCCGGCCUCUGCAGUCUCUCCCCGCGAAAACACGGCCCGCGAGGGGGUCAGCCGGGCUGGCUGGGGGAAGGAGCGAGGAGAGAACCCCACGGGCCGGGCCUUCCCGGGGCGCCCCCUCGCCGCCCCAGAUCUUUGCCCAGCGCCCGCCUCCCGUUCCCACCCGCGACUUCCCCGGGACCGCCCGAAAGAUGCUGAUAGGAGACUCUGCAGUUUUAGAGACAGAAGGAGCUAGAGCAGAACAGCCCAGUCUUCCUGUUUGAACUCCUCCUGCUCUGGGUGGACAUGAGGAUCACAUCUCACUGCCCUGCCAGGAGAGGAGAAGACCUACAGACCUUGGCUUUGACCUUGAGGAAAUGGAAAAACUUGGACCUUAAAGAGAGAUUUCCAUGGCUAAGACAUGGGCAGGCUGUGUGACCUUGGGCACGUUACCUAACCUCUCUGAACCUCACGUGCUAGUGAGGAUUCAGUGAGCUGACAACUGUACAGGGCCUAAAAGGCCUCCUGGCAUGGACUAAACUCUCAGUA
Eubalaena glacialis (North Atlantic right whale) is the source of this 752-nucleotide long non-coding RNA. RefSeq lists it as uncharacterized. The transcript is spliced from 4 exons. The record is from RefSeq and is a predicted model, not a curated record. Lineage: Eukaryota; Metazoa; Chordata; Mammalia; Artiodactyla; Balaenidae.